AAGUCGUAACAAGGUUUCCGUAGGUGAACCUGCGGAAGGAUCAUUAUUGAUUUUUAAAGCAAACCGAGCUUUUUUUUAAAAGUAAGGUUUUGCGAGUAUAUUUAAAACCCCACUCUUAAAAAUAAUUUUUCAUUCAUUAUUUAUGAAUAAAAAAAAAGAUCACUUUCAACAACGGAUCUCUUGGCUCUC
Molecule: unclassified non-coding RNA, 189 nt
Filed under: fungal sp.
Lineage: Eukaryota; Fungi
Description: partial internal transcribed spacer region
Rfam family: Eukaryotic small subunit ribosomal RNA (bases 1-46)
Source: RNAcentral